RNAcentral lists this ribosomal RNA (800 nucleotides) under uncultured bacterium. RNAcentral describes it as "bacterial SSU rRNA". It matches the Rfam family "Bacterial small subunit ribosomal RNA", at positions 8 to 797 of the family's 1533-position model. The record is from RNAcentral.
AGAGUUUGAUCAUGGCUCAGAUUGAACGCUGGCGGCAGGCCUAACACAUGCAAGUCGAACGGUAACAGAAAGCAGCUUGCUGCCUUGCUGACGAGUGGCGGACGGGUGAGUAAUGUCUGGGAAACUGCCUGAUGGAGGGGGAUAACUACUGGAAACGGUAGCUAAUACCGCAUAACGUCGCAAGACCAAAGAGGGGGACCUUCGGGCCUCUUGCCAUCGGAUGUGCCCAGAUGGGAUUAGCUAGUAGGUGGGGUAAAGGCUCACCUAGGCGACGAUCCCUAGCUGGUCUGAGAGGAUGACCAGCCACACUGGAACUGAGACACGGUCCAGACUCCUACGGGAGGCAGCAGUGGGGAAUAUUGCACAAUGGGCGCAAGCCUGAUGCAGCCAUGCCGCGUGUAUGAAGAAGGCCUUCGGGUUGUAAAGUACUUUCAGCGGGGAGGAAGGGAGUAAAGUUAAUACCUUUGCUCAUUGACGUUACCCGCAGAAGAAGCACCGGCUAACUCCGUGCCAGCAGCCGCGGUAAUACGGAGGGUGCAAGCGUUAAUCGGAAUUACUGGGCGUAAAGCGCACGCAGGCGGUUUGUUAAGUCAGAUGUGAAAUCCCCGGGCUCAACCUGGGAACUGCAUCUGAUACUGGCAAGCUUGAGUCUCGUAGAGGGGGGUAGAAUUCCAGGUGUAGCGGUGAAAUGCGUAGAGAUCUGGAGGAAUACCGGUGGCGAAGGCGGCCCCCUGGACGAAGACUGACGCUCAUGUGCGAAAGCGUGGGGAGCAAACUGGAUUAGAUACCCUGGUAGUCCA